UGAGUUUACGCUCUACAACCCUUCGUGAACAUACCUAUAACUGUUGCUUCGGCGGGUAGGGUCUCCGUGACCCUCCCGGCCUCCCGCCCCCGGGCGGGUCGGCGCCCGCCGGAGGAUAACCAAACUCUGAUUUAACGACGUUUCUUCUGAGUGGUACAAGCAAAUAAUCAAAACUUUUAACAACGGAUCUCUUGGUUCUGGCAUCGAUGAAGAACGCAGCGAAAUGCGAUAAGUAAUGUGAAUUGCAGAAUUCAGUGAAUCAUCGAAUCUUUGAACGCACAUUGCGCCCGCCAGCAUUCUGGCGGGCAUGCCUGUUCGAGCGUCAUUUCAACCCUCAAGCUCUGCUUGGUGUUGGGGCCCUACAGCUGAUGUAGGCCCUCAAAGGUAGUGGCGGACCCUCCCGGAGCCUCCUUUGCGUAGUAACUUUACGUCUCGCACUGGGAUCCGGAGGGACUCUUGCCGUAAAACCCCCCAAUUUUCCAAAGGGUUGACCUCGGAUCAGGUAGGAAUACCCGCUGAACUUAAGCAU
RNAcentral lists this ribosomal RNA (529 nucleotides) under Colletotrichum gloeosporioides. RNAcentral describes it as "partial 18S ribosomal RNA". The stretch from base 172 to 325 matches the Rfam family "5.8S ribosomal RNA". Lineage: Eukaryota; Fungi; Ascomycota; Sordariomycetes; Glomerellales; Glomerellaceae. The record is from RNAcentral.